This 352-nucleotide long non-coding RNA is filed under the name Brassica napus (rape). RNAcentral describes it as "long non-coding RNA (BNAP_LNC005055)". Lineage: Eukaryota; Viridiplantae; Streptophyta; Magnoliopsida; Brassicales; Brassicaceae. The record is from RNAcentral.
CGUGAGAAGAGUGGACAGAUGUUUUUUAUGAGGGCGGAAACGGUUCGAUACAGAUUGAUUAUGUAACGUUUCCAAGUUUUAGUCGCCAGUGAGAUGAAGAGAUGAGGAACUUCGACGGCGAUUAGGAUUAUUUGUCUUGGCGGAGUUUACAAAGGUAGGGGUGGGCGUUCGGGUACCCGUUCGGGUUCGGAUCGGGUAUUUCGUAUGUAGAACCCGUUCGGGUAUUUCUAUACUUCGGGUCGGAUUCGGGUAUUUUUAGUUCGGAUUCGGUUAUUUCGGAUCGGGUUCGGAUAUUUAGAUUUUGAAAAAAAAAAUUAAAAUUUUCAUUUCUCAAGUUUCUUGUAUUUAAAAU